Molecule: ribosomal RNA, 261 nt
Filed under: uncultured bacterium
Lineage: Bacteria
Description: partial 16S ribosomal RNA
Rfam family: Bacterial small subunit ribosomal RNA
Source: RNAcentral
GUCCACGCCCUAACGAUGUCAACUGGUUGUUGGGAACUUGAUUCCUUAGUAACGAAGCUAACGCGUGAAGUUGACCGCCUGGGGAGUACGGCCGCAAGGUUAAACUCAAAGGAAUUGACGGGGACCCGCACAAGCGGUGGAUUAUGUGGAUUAAUUCGAUGCAACGCGAAAACCUUACCUACCCUUGACAUGUACGGAAUCCCUCAGAGAUGGGGGAGUGCCCGAAAGGGAGCCGUAACACAGGUGCUGCAUGGCUGUCGU